Rostrohypoxylon terebratum is the source of this 101-nucleotide non-coding RNA. The record is from the annotation of a GenBank genome assembly. NCBI's taxonomy places the organism in Eukaryota, Fungi, Ascomycota, Sordariomycetes, Xylariales, Hypoxylaceae.
GGUGAGAUGGCCGAGUUGGUUAUGGCGCCAGGUUAAGGUUACCUUAACAUCUUAACAUCCUGGUGGAGCAAUCCGCGUGGGUUCAAGUCCCACUCUCAUCA